This 490-nucleotide ribosomal RNA is filed under the name uncultured bacterium. RNAcentral describes it as "partial 16S ribosomal RNA". It matches the Rfam family "Bacterial small subunit ribosomal RNA", at positions 29 to 523 of the family's 1533-position model. The record is from RNAcentral.
AUUGAACGCUGGCGGCAGGCCUAACACAUGCAAGUCGAGCGGAGGUAGCAAUACCUUAGCGGCGGACGGGUGAGGAAUGUAUCGGAACGUGCCGAGUAGUGGGGGAUAACACAGGGAAACUUGUGCUAAUACCGCAUACGCCCUGAGGGGGAAAGUGGGGGACCGCAAGGCCUCACGCUAUUCGAGCGGCCGGUACCCGAUUAGCUAGUUGGUGAGGUACGAGCUCACCAAGGCGACGAUCGGGAGCUGGUCUUAGAGGACGAUCAGCCACACUGGAACGGGGACACGGUACAGGCGCCUACGGGACGCAGCAGGGGGGAAUACUGGACGAUGGGGGCAACCCGGAUCCAGCCAUGCCGAGUGAGUGAAGAAGGCCUUCGUGUUGUAAAGCUCUUUGAGCGGGGAGGAAGGUCAUGCGGUUAAUAACCGUGUGAAUUGACGUUAGCUGCAGAACAAGCACCGGCUAACUCUGUGCCAGCAGCCGCGGUAA